ACCCCCGUAGCUCAGCGGACAAGAGCGCAUGGCUACGAACCAUGAGGUCGCAGGUUCGAUCCCUGCCGGGGGUG
RNAcentral lists this transfer RNA (74 nucleotides) under Amycolatopsis albispora. Its description in RNAcentral is "tRNA-Arg". It matches the Rfam family "tRNA". Rfam says of the family: Transfer RNA (tRNA) molecules are approximately 80 nucleotides in length. Their secondary structure includes four short double-helical elements and three loops (D, anti-codon, and T loops). Further hydrogen bonds mediate the characteristic L-shaped molecular structure. tRNAs have two regions of fundamental functional importance: the anti-codon, which is responsible for specific mRNA codon recognition, and the 3' end, to which the tRNAs corresponding amino acid is attached (by aminoacyl-tRNA synthetases). tRNAs cope with the degeneracy of the genetic code in two manners: having more than one tRNA (with a specific anti-codon) for a particular amino acid; and 'wobble' base-pairing, i.e. permitting non-standard base-pairing at the 3rd anti-codon position. Lineage: Bacteria; Bacillati; Actinomycetota; Actinomycetes; Pseudonocardiales; Pseudonocardiaceae. The record is from RNAcentral.